AUAUUGCACAAUGGGCGCAAGCCUGAUGCAGCGACGCCGCGGGAGGGAUGACGGCCUUCGGGUUGUAAACCUCUUUCAGUAGGGAAGAAGCCGUAAGGUGACGGUACCUGCAGAAGAAGCGCCGGCUAACUACGUGCCAGCAGCAGCGGUAAUACGUAGGGCGCAAGCGUUAUCCGGAAUUAUUGGGCGUAAAGAGCUCGUAGGCGGUUUGUCGCAUCCGCUGUGAAAGACCGGGGCUCAACUCCGGUUCUGCAGUGGGUACGGGCAGACUAGAGUGCAGUAGGGGAGACUGGAAUUCCUGGUGUAGCGGUGAAAUGCGCAGAUAUCAGGAGGAACACCGAUGGCGAAGGCAGGUCUCUGGGCUGUAACUGACGCUGAGGAGCGAAAGCAUGGGGAGCGAACAGG
This 405-nucleotide ribosomal RNA is filed under the name uncultured bacterium. RNAcentral's name for it is "bacterial SSU rRNA". It matches the Rfam family "Bacterial small subunit ribosomal RNA", at positions 361 to 776 of the family's 1533-position model. The record is from RNAcentral.